GCGGAGGAAAAGAAACCAACAGGGAUUGCCUCAGUAACGGCGAGUGAAGCGGCAACAGCUCAAAUUUGAAAUCUGGCUCCUUCGGGGUCCGAGUUGUAAUUUGCAGAGGAUGCGUCGGGUACGGGUCCCUACCGAGUUCCCUGGAACGGGACGCCAUAGAGGGUGAGAGCCCCGUCUGGUAGGAUACCCAGCCCAUGUGACGCUCCCUCGACGAGUCGAGUAGUUUGGGAAUGCUGCUCUAACGGGAGGUAUACUCCUUCCAAAGCUAAAUACCGGCUGGAGACCGAUAGCGCACAAGUAGAGUGAUCGAAAGAUGAAAAGCACUUUGAAAAGAGAGUCAAACAGCACGUGAAAUUGUUAAAAGGGAAGCACUCGCUACCAGACUUGGGUUUGGCGGUUCAACCGGGGCCACGCCCCGGGGCAUUCCGCCAGCUCAGGCCAGCAUCAGCUUUCCGUCGGGGGCAAAGACGUCGGGAAUGUGGCUCCCCCUCGGGGGAGUGUUAUAGCCCGGCGUGUCAUACCCUUCGGGGGGCUGAGGUACGCGCUUCUGCAAGGAUGCUGGCGUAAUGGUAGCUAGUGACCCGUCUUGAAACACGGACCAAGGAGUCAACCUUAUGUGCGAGUGCCCGGGCGUAAAACCCCAGCGCGGAAUGAAAGUGAACGUAGGUGAGAGCUUCGGCGCAUCACCGACCGAUCCUGAUGUCCUCGGACGGAUUUGAGUGAGAGCAUAUAGGGUUGGACCCGAAAGAAGAUGAACUAUGCGUGUGUAGGGUGAAUCCAGAGGAAACUCUGGUGGAGGCUCGCAGCGGUUCUGACGUGCAAAUCGA
Molecule: unclassified non-coding RNA, 827 nt
Filed under: Plectosphaerella plurivora
Lineage: Eukaryota; Fungi; Ascomycota; Sordariomycetes; Glomerellales; Plectosphaerellaceae
Description: sequence contains 28S rRNA gene
Rfam family: Eukaryotic large subunit ribosomal RNA
Source: RNAcentral